Molecule: ribosomal RNA, 484 nt
Filed under: uncultured bacterium
Lineage: Bacteria
Description: partial 16S ribosomal RNA
Rfam family: Bacterial small subunit ribosomal RNA
Source: RNAcentral
AUUGAACGCUGGCGGCAUGCCUUACACAUGCAAGUCGAGCGGCAGCGCGGCCUUCGGGCUGGCGGCGAGCGGCGAACGGGUGAGUAAUGCAUCGGAACAUGCCCAGUCGCGGGGGAUAACACUUCGAAAGAAGUGCUAAUACCGCAUACGUCCUGAGGGGGAAAGCGGGGGAUCGCAAGACCUCGCGCGAUUGGAGUGGCCGAUGUCAGAUUAGCUAGUUGGUGGGGUAAAGGCCUACCAAGGCGACGAUCUGUAGCUGGUCUGAGAGGAUGAUCAGCCACACUCGGACUGAGACACGGCCCAGACUCCUACGGGAGGCAGCAGUGGGGAAUUUUGGACAAAGGGGGCAACCCUGAUCCAGCCAUUCCGCGUGAGUGAAGAAGGCCUUCGGGUUGUAAAGCUCUUUCGGCAGGAACGAAACGGUGGGCUCUAACAUAGUCCGCUAAUGACGGUACCUGAAGAAGAAGCACCGGCUAACUACGUG